UGCCUCAGUAACGGCGAGUGAAGCGGCAACAGCUCAAAUUUGAAAUCUGGCUCUUUCAGGGUCCGAGUUGUAAUUUGUAGAGGAUGCUUCGGGUGUGGCUCCGGUCUAAGUUCCUUGGAACAGGACGUCAUAGAGGGUGAGAAUCCCGUAUGUGACUGGUUGCCUAUGCUCAUGCGAAGCUCCUUCGACGAGUCGAGUUGUUUGGGAAUGCAGCUCAAAAUGGGUGGUAAAUUUCAUCUAAAGCUAAAUAUUGGCCAGAGACCGAUAGCGCACAAGUAGAGUGAUCGAAAGAUGAAAAGCACUUUGGAAAGAGAGUUAAACAGUACGUGAAAUUGUUGAAAGGGAAGCGCUUGCAACCAGACUUGCACGUAGUUAAUCAACCGGUGUUCUCACUGGUGCACUUGAUUACGUUCAGGCCAGCAUCGGUUUCGGUGGUUGGAUAAAGGCCGGGGGAAUGUGGCUUCUUUCGGGGAGUGUUAUAGCCCUCGGUGCAAUGCAGCCUACCGGGACCGAGGACCGCGCUUCGGCUAGGAUGCUGGCGUAAUGGUUGUAAGCGACCCGUCUUGAAACACGGACCAAGGAGUCUAACAUCUAUGCGAGUGUUUGGGUGUUAAACCCAUACGCGUAAUGAAAGUGAACGGAGGUGAGAACCCUUAAGGGUGCAUCAUCGACCGAUCCUGAUGUCUUCGGAUGGAUUUGAGUAAGAGCAUAGCUGUUGGGACCCGAAAGAUGGUGAACUAUGCCUGAAUAGGGUGAAGCCAGAGGAAACUCUGGUGGAGGCUCGCAGCGGUUCUGACGUGCAAAUCGAUCGUCAAAUUUGGGUAU
Molecule: ribosomal RNA, 825 nt
Filed under: Helotiales sp.
Lineage: Eukaryota; Fungi; Ascomycota; Leotiomycetes; Helotiales
Description: partial large subunit ribosomal RNA
Rfam family: Eukaryotic large subunit ribosomal RNA
Source: RNAcentral